RNAcentral lists this ribosomal RNA (406 nucleotides) under uncultured bacterium. Its description in RNAcentral is "partial 16S ribosomal RNA". It matches the Rfam family "Bacterial small subunit ribosomal RNA", at positions 30 to 526 of the family's 1533-position model. The record is from RNAcentral.
AUUGAACGCUGGCGGCAGGCCUAACACAUGCAAGUCGAACGAGUGGCGGACGGGUGAGUAAUGUCUGGGAAACUGCCUGAUGGAGGGGGAUAACUACUGGAAACGGUAGCUAAUCCCGCCUACCAUCAGAUGUGCCCCUAUGGGAUUAGCUAGUUGGUGGGGUAACGGCUCACCAAGGCAACGAUCCCUAGCUGGUCUGAGAGGAUGACCAGCCACACUGGAACUGAGACACGGUCCAGACUCCUACGGUAGGCAGCGGUGGGGAAUAGUGGACAAGGGGGGAAAGCCUGAUGCAGCCAUGCCGCGUGUAUGAAGAAGGCCUUAGGGUUGUAAAGUACUUUCAGCGGGGAGGCGUUACCCGCAGAAGAAGCACCGGCUAACUACGUGCCAGCCGCCGCGGUAAUUC